RNAcentral lists this ribosomal RNA (399 nucleotides) under uncultured bacterium. RNAcentral describes it as "bacterial SSU rRNA". It matches the Rfam family "Bacterial small subunit ribosomal RNA", at positions 32 to 409 of the family's 1533-position model. The record is from RNAcentral.
AAUCAACGCUGGCGGCGUGCCUCAGACAUGCAAGUCGAACGCGAAAGUUCCCUUCGGGGGGCGAGUAGAGUGGCGCACGGGUGAGUAACACGUAGGUAAUCUACCUUUGGGUGGGGAAUAACAGCCGGAAACGGCUGCUAAUACCGCAUAAUGCAGCGGCUCGACAUCGAGACAGUUGUUAAAGGCGGGGGAUCGCAAGACCUCGCGCCUAAAGAGGAGCCUGCGGCGGAUUAGCUUGUUGGUGAGGUAAUGGCUCACCAAGGCAUCGAUCCGUAGCCGGCCUGAGAGGGCGGUCGGCCACACUGGCACUGACAUACGGGUCAGACUCCUACGGGAGGCAGCAGUCGGGAAUUUUGGGCAAUGGGCGCAAGCCUGACCCAGCAACGCCGCGUGAAGGAU